GACGAACGCUGGCGGCGUGCUUAACACAUGCAAGUCGAACGGAAAGGCCCUGCUUUUGUGUGGUGCUCGAGUGGCGAACGGGUGAGUAACACGUGAGUAACCUUCCCUUGACUUUGGGAUAACUUCAGGCAACUGGUGCUACUACCGGAUAGGAGCUCCUGCUGCAUGGUGGGGGUUGGAAAGUUUCGGCGGUUGGGGAUGGACUCGCGGCUUAUCAGCUUGUUGGUGGGGUAGUUGCUUACCAAGGCUUUGACGGGUAGCCGGCCUGAGAGGGUGACCGGCCACAUUGGGACUGAGAGACGGCCCAGACGCCUACGGGAGGCAGCAGUGGGGAAUAUUGCACAAUGGGGGGAAGCCUGAUGAAGCAACGCCGCGUGCGGGAUGACGGCCUUCGGGUUGUAAACCGCUUUCGCCUGUGACGAAGCGUGAGUGACGGUAAUGGGUAAAGAAGCACCGGCUAACUACGUG
This 468-nucleotide ribosomal RNA is filed under the name uncultured bacterium. Its description in RNAcentral is "partial 16S ribosomal RNA". It matches the Rfam family "Bacterial small subunit ribosomal RNA", at positions 28 to 507 of the family's 1533-position model. The record is from RNAcentral.